This 146-nucleotide non-coding RNA is filed under the name Jeotgalibacillus campisalis. Its description in RNAcentral is "SAM-I sequence". It matches the Rfam family "SAM riboswitch aptamer (S box leader)". From Rfam's summary of the family: The SAM riboswitch is found upstream of a number of genes which code for proteins involved in methionine or cysteine biosynthesis in Gram-positive bacteria. The SAM riboswitch acts at the level of transcription termination control. Lineage: Bacteria; Bacillati; Bacillota; Bacilli; Caryophanales; Caryophanaceae. The record is from Rfam by way of RNAcentral.
CUCUUAUCCCGAGCUGGUGGAGGGACAGGCCCUAUGAAACCCAGCAACCUGCUCUGCAAAAAAGUCUUCAUGACUUUUGCGAUUCACUCACUAUAGAGCGAAGGUGCUAACCUGUAGCAGGGCUUCUCUGCCUUGAACGAUAAGAG